GAUGAACGCUGGCGGCGUGCCUAAUACAUGCAAGUCGAGCGAACGGACGAGAAGCUUGCUUCUCUGAUGUUAGCGGCGGACGGGUGAGUAACACGUGGAUAACCUACCUAUAAGACUGGGAUAACUUCGGGAAACCGGAGCUAAUACCGGAUAAUAUUUUGAACCGCAUGGUUCAAAAGUGAAAGACGGUCUUGCUGUCACUUAUAGAUGGAUCCGCGCUGCAUUAGCUAGUUGGUAAGGUAACGGCUUACCAAGGCAACGAUGCAUAGCCGACCUGAGAGGGUGAUCGGCCACACUGGAACUGAGACACGGUCCAGACUCCUACGGGAGGCAGCAGUAGGGAAUCUUCCGCAAUGGGCGAAAGCCUGACGGAGCAACGCCGCGUGAGUGAUGAAGGUCUUCGGAUCGUAAAACUCUGUUAUUAGGGAAGAACAUAUGUGUAAGUAACUGUGCACAUCUUGACGGUACCUAAUCAGGAAGCCACGGCUAACUACGUGCCAGCAGCCGCGGUAAUACGUAGGUGGCAAGCGUUAUCCGGAAUUAUUGGGCGUAAAGCGCGCGUAGGCGGUUUUUUAAGUCUGAUGUGAAAGCCCACGGCUCAACCGUGGAGGGUCAUUGGAAACUGGAAAACUUGAGUGCAGAAGAGGAAAGUGGAAUUCCAUGUGUAGCGGUGAAAUGCGCAGAGAUAUGGAGGAACACCAGUGGCGAAGGCGACUUUCUGGUCUGUAACUGACGCUGAUGUGCGAAAGCGUGGGGAUCAAACAGGAUUAGAUACCCUGGUAGUCCACGCCGUAAACGAUGAGUGCCAAGUGUUAGGGGGUUUCCGCCCCUUAGUGCUGCAGCUAACGCAUUAAGCACUCCGCCUGGGGAGUACGACCGCAAGGUUGAAACUCAAAGGAAUUGACGGGGACCCGCACAAGCGGUGGAGCAUGUGGUUUAAUUCGAAGCAACGCGAAGAACCUUACCAAAUCUUGACAUCCUUUGACAACUCUAGAGAUAGAGCUUUCCCCUUCGGGGGACAAAGUGACAGGUGGUGCAUGGUUGUCGUCAGCUCGUGUCGUGAGAUGUUGGGUUAAGUCCCGCAACGAGCGCAACCCUUAAGCUUAGUUGCCAUCAUUAAGUUGGGCACUCUAAGUUGACUGCCGGUGACAAACCGGAGGAAGGUGGGGAUGACGUCAAAUCAUCAUGCCCCUUAUGAUUUGGGCUACACACGUGCUACAAUGGACAAUACAAAGGGCAGCGAAACCGCGAGGUCAAGCAAAUCCCAUAAAGUUGUUCUCAGUUCGGAUUGUAGUCUGCAACUCGACUACAUGAAGCUGGAAUCGCUAGUAAUCGUAGAUCAGCAUGCUACGGUGAAUACGUUCCCGGGUCUUGUACACACCGCCCGUCACACCACGAGAGUUUGUAACACCCGAAGCCGGUGGAGUAACCUUUUAGGAGCUAGCCGUCGAAGGUGGGACAAAUGAUUGGGGUG
This 1474-nucleotide ribosomal RNA is filed under the name Staphylococcus aureus. RNAcentral describes it as "partial 16S ribosomal RNA". It matches the Rfam family "Bacterial small subunit ribosomal RNA". The record is from RNAcentral. Lineage: Bacteria; Bacillati; Bacillota; Bacilli; Caryophanales; Staphylococcaceae.